AGGCUGCUCCCACUACAGUCCAACCUGCAGCGUGCCCCACCCAGGCUCCUCCCACAACAGUCUAACCUGCUGCGUGCCCCACCCAGGCUGCUCCCACUACAGUCCAACCUGCUGCGUGCCCCACCCAGGCUCCUCCCACUACAGUCUAACCUGCUGCGUGCCCCACCCAGGCUCCUCCCACUACAGUCUAACCUGCUGCAUGCCCCACCCAGGCUGCUCCCACUACAGUCUAACCUGCUGCGUGCCCCACCCAGGCUGCUCCCACUACAGUCUAACCUGCUGCGUGCCCCACCCAGGCUGCUCCCACUACAGUCUAACCUGCUGCGUGGCCCACCCAGGCUGCUCCCACUACAGUCUAACCUGCUGCGUGCCCCACCCAGGCUGCUCCCACUAAAGUCUAACCUGCUUCCUCCAGUGCCAAGUCUGCUGCAACUAGUACCUGCUUUCUUCACCCACAUCCCAGUCUGCUGCCAGGCAACUCCACCCAUGAAAAAAAAAUGCAUCACUAGUGGCAACGCAUCACUAGUUUCCAUAUAGACUGCUGUACUCCAGACCUUUUUAUCUUCUUCUAAAAUUAGAGGCUUGAUUCAAUCAGAUUGAGCAUUAACCCACGGUUGCUCUUGUGCGUCACAAACCACUCACUUCCUUCCCACACACACCAUGUCAUUUCAAAUCAAUUAUGUUGAACCAACGUGGAAUAGAUGUUGAAUUGACGUAUGUGCCCAGUGGGAUAUUUUCCCUACCGCAUUAGAAGUUCAAAAUGGCGAUAGAAACUGUAGGCUAUUGCAUAAUUUUCAUGUUAAUUUGGAUGGGGGGGAUGUAAAGCUGUCACGACUCCUACCGAAGGUGGCUCCCCUUCCUGCUCGGGUGGUGCUCGGCGGUCGUCGUCACCGGCCUACUACACAGGGGAUCAAAUACUUUUUUCCCCACUGUAGCUGCCACUGAUUCCCUUUUUCCCCUUUCUGUUUAUUGGUUUCACCUGUUUUUUGUUAGACUGAUUAGUCGGGUUAUUUUAGCCAGUAGGCCCGCCUGCUCUGUGUGCGGGAUUGUUUGUGUGUUGCAUCUGUGCACGCUCGUGUCUCAGGCGUUUCGGUAGUGGGUUUUUCUCCGGACUGUUUCAGUCCCCAGUGUUUGGGGCAUUUGUUUUGUAUGCGCCCUGUAUCUUAGUGGGGUGGCUUAUGUUCGCCGUUUGUGCCAAUAAAGCACUAACCUGUACUCUCUGCUUCCUGCGCCUGACUUCGCACCCACUACACACAGAGCCUUACAAAAGCGUAUCAGUCUAAUCGGGAGUAGGGCCUUUAGCCUACAAUAGAACAUCACACAUUCAGGUGUUUGAACUAUUAACGCGCUGCAGGAACUUCUGACGCGGCUUCACGGGAUUUGUUUGAUAUAUCACCUAAACUAUUGGCAGUUUAGGUGAUAAGGUAACACAAGGAGACACUUGUGGAUUUGACAGCUCUAACACAGCUCUGCCGUUUCACAUUUGUCAUUAAUAAAUUGUCACGUCCUGACCAGUAAAAGGGGUUAUUUGUUAUUAUAGUUUGGUCAGGGCGUGGCAGGGGGUGUUUGUUUUGGGUGUUUCGGGGUUUUGAUGUAUGUUCUAUAUUUUCUAGGUUUAUUCUAGGUUUCUCUUUCUAUGUUGUGUUUUUUCAAUGACCUCCAAUUAGAGGCAGCUGGUGGUUGUUGUCUCUAAUUGGAGGCCAUAUUUAGUGUGUUUCGUUUUCACUUGUGUUUGUGGGUGGUUGUUUCCGGUUUAGUCUGUGCACCUUACCUUCAAUAAAUACGAAGAUGAGCAAUAUACCCG
This 1804-nucleotide long non-coding RNA is filed under the name Salmo salar (Atlantic salmon). RNAcentral's name for it is "lncRNA (ENSSSAG00000086571.1)". The record is from RNAcentral. Lineage: Eukaryota; Metazoa; Chordata; Actinopteri; Salmoniformes; Salmonidae.